CAGCUAGUUGGUGAGGUAAUGGCUCACCAAGGCGACGAUCCGUAACUGGUCUGAGAGGAUGAUCAGUCACACUGGAACUGAGACACGGUCCAGACUCCUACGGGAGGCAGCAGUGGGGAAUAUUGGACAAUGGGCGAAAGCCUGAUCCAGCCAUGCCGCGUGUGUGAAGAAGGUCUUCGGAUUGUAAAGCACUUUAAGUUGGGAGGAAGGGCCAUUACCUAAUACGUGAUGGUUUUGACGUUACCGACAGAAUAAGCACCGGCUAACUCUGUGCCAGCAGCCGCGGUAAUACAGAGGGUGCAAGCGUUAAUCGGAAUUACUGGGCGUAAAGCGCGCGUAGGUGGUUUGUUAAGUUGGAUGUGAAAGCCCCGGGCUCAACCUGGGAACUGCAUUCAAAACUGACAAGCUAGAGUAUGGUAGAGGGUGGUGGAAUUUCCUGUGUAGCGGUGAAAUGCGUAGAUAUAGGAAGGAACACCAGUGGCGAAGGCGACCACCUGGACUGAUACUGACACUGAGGUGCGAAAGCGUGGGGAGCAAACAGGAUUAGAU
This 549-nucleotide ribosomal RNA is filed under the name uncultured Gammaproteobacteria bacterium. RNAcentral's name for it is "SSU rRNA". It matches the Rfam family "Bacterial small subunit ribosomal RNA", at positions 242 to 783 of the family's 1533-position model. Lineage: Bacteria; Pseudomonadati; Pseudomonadota; Gammaproteobacteria. The record is from RNAcentral.